This 485-nucleotide ribosomal RNA is filed under the name uncultured bacterium. Its description in RNAcentral is "partial 16S ribosomal RNA". It matches the Rfam family "Bacterial small subunit ribosomal RNA", at positions 29 to 523 of the family's 1533-position model. The record is from RNAcentral.
AGUGAACGCUGGCGGCGUGCUUAACACAUGCAAGUCGAACGAGAACGGAAUAUAGCUUGCUAUAUUUGUCAGCUAAGUGGCGCACGGGUAAGUAAUGUAUAGAUAACCUGCCCUCUAGAAAGGAAUAACAGUUGGAAACGACUGCUAAUGCCCUAUAUGCCUUUAAUACAUAAGUAUGCAAGGGAAACGCUUUAGUGCUAGAGGAUGGGUCUGUAUGGUAUCAGUUAGUUGGUGAGGUAAUGGCUCACCAAGACUAUGACGCCUAACUGGUUUGAGAGGAUGAUCAGUCACACUGGAACUGAGACACGGUCCAGACUCCUACGGGAGGCAGCAGUGGGGAAUAUUGCACAAUGGACGAAAGUCUGAUGCAGCAACGCCGCGUGGAGGAUGACACAUUUCGGUGCGUAAACUCCUUUUAUAUAGGAAGAUAAUGACGGUACUAUAUGAAUAAGCACCGGCUAACUCCGUGCCAGCCGCCGCGGUAA